UCGAGUUAGGGUCUCUCAUGGCCCGAUCUCCCAACCCUUGUGUUAAACAAUCCACGUUGCUUCGGCAGGCCCGUCUACCCUCCGGGGAAGACCGCCGGACUCGUCACAGAGUCUGGCCCGCGCCUGUCGGUAGCCCAACUUCAAACUCUUGAUCAACCGUGUCGUCUGAGUUUACAAAUAAAUUAAAACA
Molecule: unclassified non-coding RNA, 190 nt
Filed under: uncultured Eurotiomycetes
Lineage: Eukaryota; Fungi; Ascomycota; Eurotiomycetes
Description: sequence contains ITS1
Source: RNAcentral